Molecule: ribosomal RNA, 402 nt
Filed under: uncultured Bacilli bacterium
Lineage: Bacteria; Bacillati; Bacillota; Bacilli
Description: bacterial SSU rRNA
Rfam family: Bacterial small subunit ribosomal RNA
Source: RNAcentral
AGAACGCUGAAGCUUGGUGCUUGCACCGAGCGGAAGAGUUGCGAACGGGUGAGUAACGCGUAGGUAACCUGCCUCUUAGCGGGGGAUAACUAUUGGAAACGAUAGCUAAUACCGCAUAAAAGUCGGCAUUGCAUGAUGUUGACUUGAAAGGUGCAACUGCAUCACUAAGAGAUGGACCUGCGUUGUAUUAGCUAGUUGGUGAGGUAACGGCUCACCAAGGCGACGAUACAUAGCCGACCUGAGAGGGUGAUCGGCCACACUGGGACUGAGACACGGCCCAGACUCCUACGGGAGGCAGCAGUAGGGAAUCUUCGGCAAUGGACGGAAGUCUGACCGAGCAACGCCGCGUGAGUGAAGAAGGUUUUCGGAUCGUAAAGCUCUGUUGUAAGAGAAGAACGAGUG